GACCCUAAAAAGUCCCCUAGACACAAAGGUUUGGUCCUAGCCUUGAGAUCAUUUGUUACUUAAUAUACACAUGCAAGUCUCCGCACCCCUGUGAAAACGCCCUUAUAAUCCCCAAUAGGGAAUAGGAGCUGGUAUCAGGCACGAAUAAUCUGCCCAAAACACCUAGCUUUGCCACACCCACAAGGGAAUUCAGCAGUGAUUAACAUUGAAUAUAAGCGCCAGCUUGAUUCAGCCAAAGUAAAGAGAGCCGGCAAAUCUGGUGCCAGCCGCCGCGGUUACACCACGUGGCUCAAAUUGAUUUUUAUCGGCGUAAAGCGUGAUUAAAGUCACCAUUAAAUUUAGGAUUAAACUGAAACUAAGCUGUGACACGCUUGUUACUUAAGAAACCCGAAAACGAAAGUUAUUCUAAUUAAUACAACUUGAAUUCACGACAGCUGAAGCACAAACUGGGAUUAGAUACCCCACUAUGUUCAGCCGUAAACUUUAAAUUACAACCCCAUCGCCAGGGAACUACGAGCAAUGCUUAAAACUCAAAGGACUUGACGGUACCCCAUAUCCCCCUAGAGGAGCCUGUCCUAUAAUCGAUAAUCCCCGUUUAACCUCACCACUUUUAGCCUUCUCAACCUGUAUACCUCCGUCGUCAGCUUACCUCGUGAGCGAAAUCUAGUGAGCCUAAUGUCUCCACAUCAAUACGUCAGGUCAAGGUGCAGUUUAUAAAGUGGCAAGAGAUGGGCUACACUUUCUAAUAUAGAAAAUACGAAAAACUACAUAUGAAAUCUAGUUGGAAGGCGGAUUUAGCAGUAAAAAGAAAAUAGAGUGUUCUUUUUAAUUCGGCACUGGGGUGUGUACACACCGCCCGUCACCCUCUUCAAAGCUUAUCGGAAGUAACUUAACUAAUUUUUGCAACAAUAGAAGAGGCAAGUCGUAACAUGGUAAGUAUACCGGAAGGUGUGCUUGGAUU
This 961-nucleotide non-coding RNA is filed under the name Thoropa miliaris (rock river frog). Its description in RNAcentral is "partial 12S ribosomal RNA". It matches the Rfam family "Bacterial small subunit ribosomal RNA". Lineage: Eukaryota; Metazoa; Chordata; Amphibia; Anura; Cycloramphidae. The record is from RNAcentral.